Molecule: ribosomal RNA, 468 nt
Filed under: uncultured bacterium
Lineage: Bacteria
Description: partial 16S ribosomal RNA
Rfam family: Bacterial small subunit ribosomal RNA
Source: RNAcentral
GACGAACGCUGGCGGCGUGCUUAACACAUGCAAGUCGAACGGAAAGGCCCUGCUUUUGUGGGGUGCUCGAGUGGCGAACGGGUGAGUAACACGUGAGUAACCUGCCCUUGACUUUGGGAUAACUUCUGGAAACUGGGGCUAAUACCGGAUAGGAGCUCCUGCUGCAUGGUGGGGGUUGGAAAGUUUCGGCGGUUGGGGAUGGACUCGCGGCUUAUCAGCUUGUUGGUGGGGUAGUGGCUUACCAAGGCUUUGACGGGUAGCCGGCCUGAGAGGGUGACCGGCCACAUUGGGACUGAGAUACGGCCCAGACUCCUACGGGAGGCAGCAGUGGGGAAUAUUGCACAAUGGGCGGAAGCCUGAUGCAGCAACGCCGCGUGCGGGAUGACGGCCUUCGGGUUGUAAACCGCUUUCGACUGUGACGAAGCGUGAGUGACGGUAAUGGGUAAAGAAGAACCGGCUAACUACGUG